This 253-nucleotide ribosomal RNA is filed under the name uncultured bacterium. RNAcentral's name for it is "partial 16S ribosomal RNA". It matches the Rfam family "Bacterial small subunit ribosomal RNA", at positions 524 to 776 of the family's 1533-position model. The record is from RNAcentral.
UACGGAGGGUGCAAGCAUUGAUCGGAAUUACUGGGCGUAAAGGGCGCGUAGGCGGCCAUGAAAGUCAGAUGUGAAAUUCCGGGGCUCAACCCCGGAGCUGCAUUUGAAACUCCAUGGCUAGAGUACAGUUAGGGAAAACGGAAUUCCACGUGUAGCGGUGAAAUGCGUAGAUAUGUGGAAGAACACCGGUGGUGAAGACGGUUUUCUGGGCUGAAACUGACGCUGAGGCGCGAAAGCUAGGGGAGCAAACAGG